This 312-nucleotide signal recognition particle RNA is filed under the name Halobacteriales archaeon QH_2_65_14. RNAcentral's name for it is "signal recognition particle sRNA". It matches the Rfam family "Archaeal signal recognition particle RNA". The record is from RNAcentral. Lineage: Archaea; Methanobacteriati; Methanobacteriota; Halobacteria; Halobacteriales.
GAGUGGACUAGGUCGGGCGGUUAGGCCCCGCUCCUCGCCCACAAGUGGCCUUAAGUGGGGACCGAACACCGGGGGCGUGCGCGCAGACGGUCGCGGGCCCCGCAAGCCAACGUCGAAGCCUCGUCCUGCGGGGAUGGAGGUCCGAACGGCUACACCUGCAGGGGUGCAGGCGUCCGGUUAACCGGCGACAGCCCGUCAGGCGCGGAAGCGAGCAGCGGACCGCCGGACAUCCGUCGCUCGUAGGGUCGCGGGGUGGAGGAGGCACGCGGGCUUACCCGCGACCGAACGCCGUGCAAUCUCGGCUGUCCGUUC